This 76-nucleotide transfer RNA is filed under the name Povalibacter uvarum. RNAcentral describes it as "tRNA-Ile". It matches the Rfam family "tRNA". From Rfam's summary of the family: Transfer RNA (tRNA) molecules are approximately 80 nucleotides in length. Their secondary structure includes four short double-helical elements and three loops (D, anti-codon, and T loops). RNAcentral also lists the same sequence under 3 other names. Lineage: Bacteria; Pseudomonadati; Pseudomonadota; Gammaproteobacteria; Steroidobacterales; Steroidobacteraceae. The record is from RNAcentral.
GGGCCUGUAGCACAACGGUUAGUGCAGGGGACUCAUAAUCCCUUGGUUCCAGGUUCGAAUCCUGGCGGGCCCACCA